AUAACUGGGGGAUAGCCCAGAGAAAUCUGGAGUUAAUAACCGCAUAACAAUCAGUGAUUCGCAUGUUUUAUGAUUUAAAACUCCGGUGGAUAAGAUGGGCAUGCGUAGCAUUAGUAGUUGGUAAGGUAACGGCUUACCAAGACAAUGAUGCUUAGGGGGGUCUGAGAGGAUAGGUCCCCCACACUGGUACUGAGACACGGACCAGACUCCUACGGGAGGCAGCAGUGAGGAAUAUUGGUCAAUGGGCGCAAGCCUGAACCAGCCAUGUCGCGUGCAGGAUGACGGCCCUAUGGGUUGUAAACUGCUUUUUUUACAGGAAUAAUUGUUGCUACGUGUAGUGAUUUUGAAUGUACUGUAUGAAUAAGGAUCGGCUAACUCCGUG
This 382-nucleotide ribosomal RNA is filed under the name uncultured bacterium. RNAcentral's name for it is "bacterial SSU rRNA". It matches the Rfam family "Bacterial small subunit ribosomal RNA", at positions 132 to 507 of the family's 1533-position model. The record is from RNAcentral.